This 274-nucleotide ribosomal RNA is filed under the name uncultured bacterium. RNAcentral's name for it is "partial 16S ribosomal RNA". It matches the Rfam family "Archaeal small subunit ribosomal RNA", at positions 473 to 747 of the family's 1478-position model. The record is from RNAcentral.
AAACCAGCACCUCAAGUGGUCAGGAUGAUUAUUGGGCCUAAAGCAUCCGUAGCCGGCUCAGUAAGUUUUCGGAUAAAUCUGUACGCUCAACGUACAGGCUGCCGGGAAUACUGCAGAGCUAGGGAGUGGGAGAGGUAGACGGUACUCGGGAGGAAGUGGUAAAAUGCUUUGAUCUUUCGAUGACCACCUGUGGCGAAGGCGGUCUACCAGAACACGUUCGACGGUGAGGGAUGAAAGCUGGGGGAGCAAACCGGAUUAGAUACCCGAGUAGUCC